UACGGAGGGUGCGAGCGUUAAUCGGAAUAACUGGGCGUAAAGCGCACGCAGGCGGUCAAUUAAGUCAGAUGUGAAAGCCCCGAGCUUAACUUGGGAAUUGCAUCUGAUACUGGCAAGCUUGAGUCUCGUAGAGGGGGGUAGAAUUCCAGGUGUAGCGGUGAAAUGCGUAGAGAUGUGGAGGAAUACCGAAGGCGAAGGCAGCCCCUUGGGAAUGUACUGACGCUCAUGUGCGAAAGCGUGGGGAGCAAACAGG
This 253-nucleotide ribosomal RNA is filed under the name uncultured bacterium. RNAcentral's name for it is "partial 16S ribosomal RNA". It matches the Rfam family "Bacterial small subunit ribosomal RNA", at positions 524 to 776 of the family's 1533-position model. The record is from RNAcentral.